CCCGUAGGUAAGCGCACAACCGCUUAUGACCGUUGACCAUCGUUCAACCGUUUUCGCCCUCGCAUGGCGGAGGCCAGGGGUUCGAGUCCCCUCGGGUCCA
Molecule: transfer RNA, 100 nt
Filed under: Rubrobacter sp.
Lineage: Bacteria; Bacillati; Actinomycetota; Rubrobacteria; Rubrobacterales; Rubrobacteraceae
Description: tRNA-Ala
Source: RNAcentral